Molecule: ribosomal RNA, 253 nt
Filed under: uncultured bacterium
Lineage: Bacteria
Description: partial 16S ribosomal RNA
Rfam family: Bacterial small subunit ribosomal RNA
Source: RNAcentral
UACAGAGGGUGCGAGCGUUGUCCGGAAUCACUGGGCGUAAAGGGCGCGUAGGUGGCCCGACAAGUCUGUGGUGAAAGCUCGAUGCUCAACAUCGAGUCGGCCAUAGAUACUGUUGGGCUGGAGCACUGUAGAGGCAGAUGGAAUUCCGGGUGUAGCGGUGGAAUGCGUAGAGAUCCGGAAGAACACCGGUGGCGAAGGCGGUCUGCUGGGCAGUAGCUGACACUGAGGCGCGACAGCGUGGGGAGCAAACAGG